UAGGCUGAAACUCGCCUACAUGAAGCUGGAGUUGCUAGUAAUCGCGAAUCAGCAUGUCGCGGUGAAUACGUUCCCGGGCCUUGUACACACCGCCCGUCACACCAUGAGAGUUGGCAAUACCCAACGUACGUGAUCUAACCCGCAAGGGAGGAAGCGUCCUAAGGUAGGGUCAGCGAGUUGGGGUGAAGUCGUAACAAGGUAUC
This 203-nucleotide ribosomal RNA is filed under the name uncultured bacterium. RNAcentral describes it as "partial 16S ribosomal RNA". It matches the Rfam family "Bacterial small subunit ribosomal RNA", at positions 1301 to 1500 of the family's 1533-position model. The record is from RNAcentral.